AAAACGCGAAAUGUGUUAUGAAGUGCAGUCUUUGUGAAUCAUGAAUCUUUGAACGCACCUUGCACCGCUUUACGAGCGGUAUGUCUGUUUGAGGGAGGGAAGCGAGUGGAAGAUGUUCUGGGAUGGGGUUUGUGUUACUAGUAAAACUGCCCUCAAAAGGAUGCGCUUGGUGAUGGGAUACUUCUGCAUUACUAAUGACUAGAAAUCUCCUCAAAUCAGACAAGAUGACCCGCUGAACUUAA
This 242-nucleotide unclassified non-coding RNA is filed under the name uncultured fungus. Its description in RNAcentral is "sequence contains ITS1". The stretch from base 1 to 98 matches the Rfam family "5.8S ribosomal RNA", at positions 50 to 154 of the family's 154-position model. Lineage: Eukaryota; Fungi. The record is from RNAcentral.